CCGACGGUGAGGGGUGAAAGCUGGGGGAGCAAACCGGAUUAGAUACCCGGGUAGUCCCAGCCGUAAACGAUGUGCGUUAGGUGUAUCGGUGACCACGAGUCACCGAGGUGCCGAAGAGAAAUCGUGAAACGUACCGCCUGGGAAGUACGGUCGCAAGGCUGAAACUUAAAGGAAUUGGCGGGGGAGCACCACAACAGGUGGAGCCUGCGGUUUAAUCGGACUCAACGCCGGGAAACUCACCAGAUAAGACAGCUGAAUGAUAGUCGGGCUGAAGACUCUACUUGACUAGCUGAGAGGAGGCGCAUGGCCGUCGUCAGUUCGUACUGUGAAGCAUCCUGUUAAGUCAGGCAACGAGCGAGACCCACGCCAACAGUUGCU
RNAcentral lists this ribosomal RNA (378 nucleotides) under uncultured archaeon. RNAcentral's name for it is "bacterial SSU rRNA". It matches the Rfam family "Archaeal small subunit ribosomal RNA", at positions 691 to 1068 of the family's 1478-position model. The record is from RNAcentral.